GACGAACGCUGGCGGCGUGCUUAACACAUGCAAGUCGAGGGCUCCCAGCAAUGGGGGACCGGCGAACGGGUGCGUAACACGUGAGCGACCUGCCCUCUUGCGGGGGAUAGCCGGCCCAACGGCCGGGUAAUACCGCAUACGCCGAGAGUCGGGCAUCCGAGUCUCGGGAAACCGCAUGGGCGAGAGGAGGGGCUCGCGGCCUAUCAGCUAGUUGGCGGGGUGACGGCCCACCAAGGCUCCGACGGGUAGCUGGUCUGAGAGGAUGGCCAGCCACAUUGGGACUGAGAGACGGCCCAGACUCCUACGGGAGGCAGCAGUGGGGAAUCUUGCGCAAUGGGCGGAAGCCUGACGCAGCGACGCCGCGUGCGGGACGAAGGCCUUCGGGUCGUAAACCGCUGUUGCCCGGGACGAACAACCGGCUUCGGCCGGUCUGACGGUACCGGGUGAGGAAGCACCGGCUAACUCCGUGCCAGCAGCCGCGGUAAUACGGAGGGUGCGAGCGUUGUCCGGAAUCACUGGGCGUAAAGGGCGCGUAGGCGGCCCCUUAAGCGUGCGGUGAAAGCCUGGGGCUCAACCCCGGGUCGGCCGUGCGGACUGGGGGGGCUCGAGCACCGUAGGGGCAGGCGGAAUUCCGGGUGUAGCGGUGGAAUGCGUAGAGAUCCGGAAGAACACCGGCGGCGAAGGCGGCCUGCUGGCGGUGGCUGACGCUGAGGCGCGACAGCGUGGGGAGCAAACAGGAUUAGAUACCCUGGUAGUCCACGCCGUAAACGAUGGGCACUA
This 780-nucleotide ribosomal RNA is filed under the name uncultured Gemmatimonadota bacterium. RNAcentral describes it as "bacterial SSU rRNA". It matches the Rfam family "Bacterial small subunit ribosomal RNA", at positions 28 to 818 of the family's 1533-position model. Lineage: Bacteria; Pseudomonadati; Gemmatimonadota. The record is from RNAcentral.